Lytechinus pictus (painted urchin) is the source of this 3319-nucleotide long non-coding RNA. RefSeq lists it as uncharacterized. The record is from RefSeq and is a predicted model, not a curated record. NCBI's taxonomy places the organism in Eukaryota, Metazoa, Echinodermata, Echinoidea, Temnopleuroida, Toxopneustidae. The transcript is spliced from 2 exons.
UCACAUGCUUUUCGUCUUCCCUGAGCUAACGCCGUGGGGCUGUGGAAUAAGAUGUCCCAGAAUGUCAUCAGCUCUACCGGUCAGUUUAGCCCUUUUGAAGGUAAAUCUGGUCUGUACGAAACGGAAGAAGAAGGAACAGAAGCCAAAGAGACAAGUUUAAGCUUUGAUUGCUACAGAGUCUAGAACAAAUCUACAACAUUUUGACAAGGAACUAAGGAACUUCAGAUAUUCAUUUGGAAUUGUCAAAUCUCUUCCAUUUUCAUUUCUCACACUGUAUAUUUUCAGCAUGCAAGACACGUACAGCAACAAGCGGACAUGUAUAGUGUUCAAGUCCUGCGACCAAGCCCUCAAAGCGAGCAGUGACUCCCUGUGGCCUAUGACACAUUGGUUGGAGCAAGUGAUAUUCGAUAAUUGACGACAACUUCGACGACGACCAUGACCCCAGAUCAUCACAGCGCAGUGGGCCGAUCAGGUUGUGGAGCGCCGUGAGAGCUCAUGGACUCUGGAAUUCUCACCACUGUCAUUGUCGAGGCACGAUCAGGGCUUUAUGCAUAACAAAUAUUAUGGUAACAUUGUCAUUACAUGAUAACUAAUUAUAAUUUUCAAGUUGGGACUGGGACUGGAGAACCCCCCCCCCCCCACUCUUUCUGAAGGAUUUUUUCUUUAUUUUCACAAGAAUAGUUUUGGUCGAAUUCCCUUGAAUAUUUUGUCCGAUUUGACUAUUCCUACAACUCAGGGGCCGCGGAACGGUUUUCAAAGUGGGGGAUGACCAUGCAAAAAAUCACAAUCAUAUGGUCAUUUUUACGUUUUUGUACAUGGUUUUGGAAAAAAGUGGGGGCUGAACCCCCCCCCCCCCCCCGCUUCCGCGGCCCCUGCAACUCAAGUCUUUAAAUAAUGCUCUUUAUCAGUUUUAGAUAGCUUUUUUGUUUCUUUUUCUUUUUAAGUUCGAUCCCUAUUUUUGUCUCUUUAAAGGACAAGUCCACCCCAACAAACAGUUGAUUUGAAUAAAAAGAGAAAAAUCCAACAUGCAAAGCAUUGACAUUUCAUCAAAAUCGGAUGUAAAAAAAAAAAGUUCUAAAGUUUCGCUAAAAUUGAUUUCACAAAACAGUUAUAUGCACAUCCCGGUCGAUAUGCAAUUAUGAAAUGUUUUAAUUUUCUCCUCAUUGUCAAGUGAAACAUCGAUAAGUUGGUCCUUAUCGUCAUAUUUGUAAAAAAUGAAGUAUUGUAUAUAUAAUUCCAACAAUAUAAAACAAAAGAAAUAGUGAGUGAGUGACAUCAUCGGCUGUCUCAUUUGCAUGUUACUGAGUUGUGCAUAUCUCUGUUUAUUCAAAUCAACAUUUUUCUUGGGUGACCUAGACCUUCAAAUUAAUUUGGGCAGUAUUUUACCCAAUGCGGGAAGCAUGCUGUCCAGUAAAGUUAAAAAAAAAUAAGCAGCAACUAAAGAAUGGGAAAAAUUUUCAUCACGCUGGAUAAACAAAAUGGCCAAAAGAAAUGCCCAAUGUUGGUUGGACGCAUAAUUACCCUCAUGGAGCACCUUUACCCAAUAUUUUUAGAGUGUUUAUUUUAGCAAAACUAUAAUGCCAUGUCAGGCCUAUAAUAGUAAAUUACAUCCGAAGGGGCCCUGAAAACUGCAGGUAUGCCUGUAGGAUAUAUGCAUUAUUUUAUCUCUGAAAGCUUCAUUAGUAUUAUUAUUAUUACUAUUGUUUUUUUAGGGGGGGGUAGUUUAAAUCAAUUUCAUUUUAUUUCAUCUUGGUGAAAUAAUACUUCAUAACUACUCUACAGAACCAUGUCACUAAAAAGGGCAGUUCAAAUUAUUAGCAAUGUUAAUUAUCGUCGACAUAAUUAUACAGACGUAUUUUUUAAAAUUAGAUAUUUUUGAAGGUAUAUGAACUAAUUCUUGCCGUGCUUAUAUUUUGUUUCAAAAGAUAAAAUCAUGAACUUUCCCCCAUCAGAAUUUAUCGUGAAUAUGAGUGGGUAUCCUGCCAAGCAAGUAAAACUUACCUAGAACCCAUAAUGCGUUCACGCAUUUAAAGUUUUGUAUGUUUACUUCCUCAACAUUUUGGAAUUCCCUGCCCAUUAUAUAAAAGAAAAAAAACACGCUAAAAUUAGAACUAAAAGGGUCUCGUUCCAUUAUAGAACCAUUAUGUUAUAGUUACAUCACCUCAUAUUGUAUAUUUCAUAUUCUUUAUACUUUAAAAAAUGCCCCCCCCCCUCAAAAAAAAAAAAAAAAAAAAAAAAAACGAGAAAUAAUAAUAAAAGGAUAUUCUGGUUUUCGUGAUGGGACACCUCAAAAAAAUCUGUAACUCGGGUUUGAGGGAUGAUUUUUUGUCACUGAUAUGCGAAACCGAAACUGCUAUCAUUUGAUGCAUUCAUUAUUCCUCAUUUCAUCGAUGUACCGUAAUGUUCUUUAUUAGUAACCAUUGAAUAUGCAUUUAUGCUCAAUAUUGGGCAAAGACCAGGUAGAGUCGGGAGUGAAAUGUUAAUCUUAAAUUUUUAUUAAAUACAUGUAAUGAAACCAACAUCUCAAACUUGUUUAUUUUCCCAACUCGUUAGAAAUGAAGGAGUUCAACGUAAUUCCAAAAAUUCAAUAUAAUCUUGCAAAUGUAAAUAAUAUGUGGACUUUAGCGCACUAUCGUGUGAUAAAAAUAUUCAAAUUCUUUCCAUCAUCGAAACAAUCGGGAAUUCUCUACUGGAAACUAAUGUUUUAAACUUUUUUUUAAUAAUUACAUUGAUCACAUAUAUCAGGACUGCAUAUCCCAUGAUUAAAUUGGUACAACUUAUGGCACAUCAUUGUAAAGAGGAAUAAUACGCUUCCCAGUGAUGCCAUUUCCACAUAAUGGAGCAAUAAGAUAUUUAUAACCUCUAACUAUUAGUAGGAGAACUUUUUAGGGGGAUAAAUAUCCAUAAGCCAAGAACGUAUUAUUUGUAUCAAAUCAUUGUUUAUUUUACGUUAAUGUUUGACAACGCUAAAUGGGCCCUUAUUACAAUGACGAAAAUUGAAAUUUCCAAAUUAUAAUUUCUAGUAUGAAUUGUAAAAAUAACAAAGCGUUAGAGUAAAAAAUCUGCGAAAUAUACUUCUGCUUAAUGACAUUAGCCUCGCACACUGACAUUCUUUUGUCACGAUAAUAUUUCUGAUAGAAAGAACAAAGUGUCCACAGUGAGUACCACAAACUGCACACAAAUGAAAUCAUCUUUACACUGUUUUUAUUUGAGCAUAUGAACAGUGAGAAUCACGUUUCCAUAUUGGCCAUGAUGUGGACACACUGCUUGACACCGUGCUCUUUACAUUUAUUGUAACAUUUUGAUUAAAUGGUAUUGU